UAACCAUGGCAAAUGCUGAGCAUCAACACCGUUGGAACUCAUCAAUAGAAUAUAUAUAUCGUCAGUGAAUAUCAUUCAUUGAAGCAGAUAAGUAGGUAGGUAGGCAGAUAACUCAGGGGUAAGAAUACGGGGUAUCUGGGUCAAGUUGGGUCCAAUGCAGGAGGAAAAGUGGAGAUUGUUCAGUAUUUGAAUCAAUCAGAUGUCCAGAAAUCUUCAAAUCGUCGAGAUUCAAGCCGCAUUUUCGUACACAUUGACAUCCAAUCAUUUCAGCCAUAAAAUGAAGCAACUUUUGAGCCCCGAGCUUUGUAUGAUUCUUAGUUUAGUUAAUAAGGUGGAAAAAAGAUGAAUUGAACUUUUUUUUUUAAUAAACUAUUUAAGAAGUAUGAAAUGCACUUGACAAGAGCUAUAUUGAUAGACUUAUUAAAUUUAUAUCUUGAUGGUUGAAGACAGUUAGAAAAGCUAAGAGCUGAUAUACAAAAUAUCAAUUCUAUAUCAUUUAAAAGUUAUUGAAUUAAAUUGAAGUUAUGGUUGUUGAGAUAUUCAAUUUUUUAUAAGGAUGGAUUUUGGUGAUUUUAGAAGUGUAAACAGGCUUUUGAACCAUAGGUGUAUUCGAGACAAAUUUGGGAUACUUUGUCCUAGGAGGUACCUGUACCUAUACCCUAGGGUUUUCGAUAGCUUCGCCCCAAGGAUGGAAGACAAAUAAGCGUUCGAACAUAUAGAAACAUAAAAGGACUGACAAUAGAGAAACGCCCGUGGGGGAGAAACUGAGAUUUAGAAACUGGAGACAGGAGACAUUUAGGAAAUCAAAGUUAUCAAAUAAGUCUCAUUGCUUUAUCGGUGAUACCAUCUCAGUAGGAAUCAUAUGGGGCUAUGUAACGAGGAGGGGAACCGGUGGAAGAAGGCGGUAGAAGGAAAUUAAAAGGCGCUUUUAGGAUAGCAGAUCGUGGGUCUCGUAAGUCAUUUGAAAAACGGUAGUGGCAAUGUGCACAAGAAUGUAAGAAAUAUGUGAUGGGGAUAGACCGUGGAGCUGGAUGUCUCUUGUUCGAGGUGAGCAAUUAUAUGUCAAGCAUAUGUUCGGUUGGUGACACGCCUC
Molecule: small RNA, 1093 nt
Filed under: Histoplasma capsulatum var. duboisii H88
Lineage: Eukaryota; Fungi; Ascomycota; Eurotiomycetes; Onygenales; Ajellomycetaceae
Description: Histoplasma capsulatum H88 hypothetical RNA
Source: RNAcentral